RNAcentral lists this ribosomal RNA (254 nucleotides) under uncultured bacterium. Its description in RNAcentral is "partial 16S ribosomal RNA". It matches the Rfam family "Bacterial small subunit ribosomal RNA", at positions 524 to 776 of the family's 1533-position model. The record is from RNAcentral.
UACGUAGGCAGCGAGCGUUGUUCGGGGUUACUGGGCGUAAAGGGUGUGUAGGCGGUUUUCUAAGUUUGGUGUGAAAUCUCCCGGCUCAACCGGGAGGUGCGCCGAAACUAGGGUGAGACUAGAGUGCGGGAUGGGAGAGUAGAAUUCCUGGUGUAGCGGUGAAAUGCGUAGAUAUCAGGAGGAAUACCGGUGGUGUAGACGGCUCUCUGGACCGCCACUGACGCUGAGACACGAAAGCGUGGGUAGCAAACAGG